UCUAUACUCUCCUUCUCCAUCGGCCAAUUCCCCUUUUCCCCCAAUUUAAUUUCAACAAUCCUAGAUUAGAACCCUAGUUCUCCUCUCCCUCCUUCUUCUCGUCGACAAUCACCGCUCCUCCGGCCGCCGGAGCGCCCCCUGCUCCCGUUCUAGCCGCCCUCGGUCGCCGAUGCCUCGCAUCGAUGUAGAUCCCGCCGUCGUGCUUCCUGCCGCAGAGAGCAGCUCCAAGACGAAGACGGAUGCAGCGACGCUUUUCCCUCCUUCGCCGGUAGCCUUCCACGGCGUCUUCUCUCUCCCUUUCUCUCGAGAAUUUUCCGCUGCCACCGUGAGGUUCCGCCGUCGCACGUUUGAACCUGCCAUCUCAGAUCAGCCAAGCAGCGGCGCUGCUCCGGGAGGCUCGCCGUCGCUGUUGCUGCUGUGACACACCGCCCGUCGUCCGUACUACUCCUCCGUUGAGAAGCUCGAGUCCGUUGAUGUAUAGAGAUGAGUUCUCCUUACUCCCUUUUCUUAGUUUCACUCUUGAAGGUAGUAAUUGUUCUUUACAGCUUGGUUACUUUGAAGAACAUGGUUCUUAUUAGUGUGUGGAUUUUUAUUCAUUUAUUUUCUUUUUUUUUUGGUGAUUUACGGCUCAGCUCCUUUAAUAGGAUGUUUUCAUUCACAGCUACUACAUUAUGAAUUAUUUGAUGUUCUAAACCUGAGUAGGUAUUAAAACUUGAGUUGUUGAGCUAUUUCUACAGUUGCUGAUCUUUCCAUUAGAUUGCCUAGGCAUUUUGUACAAAAGGGGCUUUCAUGCUUUUGUGUUCUAUGGUGCAUUUGGACUACAUGACAAUAUGAGAUUCGGCUUGAGCUUGAAAGGAGACGUGUGUUACCUCUUGAAGGUGCACCAGGUUGAAGGGUGUUGCAGCUGCAGGCUGCUGCAGCUGUUCUGCGGCUGUCCCCUUUUCCGGCUCAUGGCAGCUUUCGGUUAUGGACUGAAGGGUGCAGGGUUUUGUUAGCUGUGGAUCUGCAGACGUGCAGCGGCUGUACCCUCUCUUUUCUCUGGGCUCGGAGCAGCCUUCGGUUAUGGGAUUCAGAGGGUUGCAGGAGCUACUGUGGCUAUUUAGAGUAGUUGUGCAGCUGUCUUGCUGCGGUCUUUAUUCACCCUGAGGGAUGUUGGAGGCACGACCCCUCAACCUGGUUCGGUUUUAACUGAUUUUGCUCGGUGUUGGCCGUGUCUAAGGCUAGCUGCCGAGGCUGCUUCUUCCUCGCGGUCUCGCCCUCGUGGGCUUUCUGCAAUUUUGGCCGAGACGGCCUAGUGGAGAAGGUCGACAUAGUCGCUAGGGGUCUCGAGUUGUAAUAGCGCAGUUCGAAUUUAAUUUCCAUUAACUUUGUAUGCAAAACUCGAUACUAGUUGGUGUGUCUUUCUUUGUAACUUAUUAGCUUGAAAUUCUUUACAUUGUAUCUAUCUUUUUUUUUUUCAAGAAAUAAAGAUACUCUUUCAUUUUUCAUAAA
Salvia splendens (bonfire salvia) is the source of this 1491-nucleotide long non-coding RNA. RefSeq lists it as uncharacterized. The transcript is spliced from 2 exons. NCBI's taxonomy places the organism in Eukaryota, Viridiplantae, Streptophyta, Magnoliopsida, Lamiales, Lamiaceae. The record is from RefSeq and is a predicted model, not a curated record.